Molecule: ribosomal RNA, 253 nt
Filed under: uncultured bacterium
Lineage: Bacteria
Description: partial 16S ribosomal RNA
Rfam family: Bacterial small subunit ribosomal RNA
Source: RNAcentral
GACGGAGGAUGCAAGUGUUAUCCGGAAUCACUGGGCGUAAAGCGUCUGUAGGUGGUCAAAUAAGUCAACUGUUAAAUCUUGAGGCUCAACCUCAAAAUCGCAGUCGAAACUAUUAGACUAGAGUAUAGUAGGGGUAAAGGGAAUUUCCAGUGGAGCGGUGAAAUACGUAGAGAUUGGAAAGAACACCGAUGGCGAAGGCACUUUACUGGGCUAUUACUAACACUCAGAGACGAAAGCUAGGGUAGCAAAUGGG